AGAGUUUGAUCCUGGCUCAGAUUGAACGCUGGCGGCAUGCCAUACACAUGCAAGUCGAACGGCAGCACGGGAGCAAUCCUGGUGGCGAGUGGCGAACGGGUGAGUAAUAUAUCGGAACGUGCCCAGUCGUGGGGGAUAACGCAGCGAAAGCUGUGCUAAUACCGCAUACGAUCUCUGGAUGAAAGCGGGGGACUCGUAAGAGCCUCGCGCGAUUGGAGCGGCCGAUAUUAGAUUAGCUAGUUGGUGGGGUAAAGGCCCACCAAGGCGACGAUCUGUAGCUGGUCUGAGAGGACGACCAGCCACACUGGAACUGAGACACGGUCCAGACUCCUACGGGAGGCAGCAGUGGGGAAUUUUGGACAAUGGGCGCAAGCCUGAUCCAGCAAUGCCGCGUGCAGGAUGAAGGCCUUCGGGUUGUAAACUGCUUUUGUACGGAACGAAAAGGUCUGCCUUAAUACGGUGGGCCCAUGACGGUACCGUAAGAAUAAGCACCGGCUAACUACGUGCCAGCAGCCGCGGUAAUACGUAGGGUGCGAGCGUUAAUCGGAAUUACUGGGCGUAAAGCGUGCGCAGGCGGUUAUAUAAGACAGAUGUGACAUCCCCGGGCUCAACCUGGGACCUGCAUUUGUGACUGUAU
This 637-nucleotide ribosomal RNA is filed under the name uncultured bacterium. Its description in RNAcentral is "bacterial SSU rRNA". It matches the Rfam family "Bacterial small subunit ribosomal RNA", at positions 8 to 638 of the family's 1533-position model. The record is from RNAcentral.